GGAAUUGUUCGCAAUGGGCGCAAGCCUGACGACGCAAUGCCGCGUGGAGGAUGAAGGUCUUCGGAUUGUAAACUCCUGUUGCCCGGGACGAAUGGCUCCGACCUAACACCUCGGAGUGUUACGGUACCGGGUGAGGACGCCCCGGCUAACUCUGUCCCAGCCGCCGCGGUAAUACAGAGGGGGCAAGCGUUGUUCGGAAUUACUGGGCGUAAAGGGCGCGUAGGCGGCCUGCUAAGUCGAACGUGAAAUCCCCGGGCUCAACCCGGGAACUGCGUCCGAUACUGGUUGGCUUGAAUCCGGGAGAGGGAUGCGGAAUUCCAGGUGUAGCGGUGAAAUGCGUAGAUAUCUGGAGGAACACCGGUGGCGAAGGCGGCAUCCUGGACCGGCAUUGACGCUGAGGCGCGAAAGCCAGGGGAGCAAAC
RNAcentral lists this ribosomal RNA (422 nucleotides) under uncultured bacterium. Its description in RNAcentral is "bacterial SSU rRNA". It matches the Rfam family "Bacterial small subunit ribosomal RNA", at positions 358 to 773 of the family's 1533-position model. The record is from RNAcentral.